CCCUGCUCCCUGCUACAAGCUAGAGGGGAUCCCCUGAAGCCCCUGCGGAGUGGGAGGGUCAGGGGAACGCGGAGCCUAGCCGUGUCAGGCAGCCUGGCUGGAGGAGGAGAGGGAGAGAAACAACAAACAAAUGUGACAUUGCAGAUCAACCUAUAGCAGUAACUGUUUGGAGCUGGUGUGAAGAGCCAGAUAAAGAAUGGGUGGGAGGCCUCCAGAGAAUUUGCCUUUGCUGCCUGGAGAUGAUCCUCGAGCCAUGGGAGAAACACAGAAAGAAGACAAGCUGCACAGGCCCCACUCCAAUAGGAGUGAGGGUCUGGGAGAAGACACUAUCUGCAACCAGGCUCCACCCGUAGACACUGAGAGCAGCAUGCAGCCUGCCAGAGAGGAUGGGGGCCAGGGAGAAGAUGGCACCAGCUGCUAUUGGAUUCUUUCUGUAGCCUCCGAGCAACAGCCCAAGUACGUAUCAAUGCACUCACUCUGCCGCUAAGUUUUCAAGUGUGCCAUCAGCAUAACACCCCCUUUGUAUAUCAAUAGCAUCCUCUGAAGAGCUGAAAGCCCUUCACAUCCAUCGAUUGCUUCACAAAUCUGGUGGGAAGUAAGUAU
Non-coding RNA from Chrysemys picta bellii (western painted turtle), 603 nucleotides. The record is from RefSeq and is a predicted model, not a curated record. NCBI's taxonomy places the organism in Eukaryota, Metazoa, Chordata, Testudines, Emydidae.